RNAcentral lists this transfer RNA (62 nucleotides) under Lachesilla anna. RNAcentral's name for it is "tRNA-His". Lineage: Eukaryota; Metazoa; Arthropoda; Insecta; Psocodea; Lachesillidae. The record is from RNAcentral.
AUUUGUUUAGUUUAAAAAAAAUAUAAAUUUGUGGAAUUUAAGAUACAACUAGGUAACAGAUA